Molecule: ribosomal RNA, 468 nt
Filed under: uncultured bacterium
Lineage: Bacteria
Description: partial 16S ribosomal RNA
Rfam family: Bacterial small subunit ribosomal RNA
Source: RNAcentral
GACGAACGCUGGCGGCGUGCUUAACACAUGCAAGUCGAACGGAAAGGCCCUGCUUUUGUGGGGUGCUCGAGUGGCGAACGGGUGAGUAACACGUGAGUAACCUGCCCUUGACUUUGGGAUAACUUCAGGAAACUGGGGCUAAUACCGGAUAGGAGCUCCUGCUGCAUGGUGGGGGUUGGAAAGUUUCGGCGGUUGGGGAUGGACUCGCGGCUUAUCAGCUUGUUGGUGGGGUAGUGGCUUACCAAGGCUUUGACGGGUAGCCGGCCUGAGAGGGUGAACGGCCACAUUGGGACUGCGAGACGGCCCAGACUCCAACGGGAGGCAGCAGUGGGGAAUAUUGCACAGUGGGCGGAAGCCUGAUGCAGCAGCGCCGCGUGCGGGAUGACGGCCUUCGGGUUGUAAACCGCUGUCGCCUGUGACGAAGCGUGAGUGACGGUAAUGGGUAAAGAAGCACCGGCUAACUACGUG